Molecule: long non-coding RNA, 880 nt
Organism: Monodelphis domestica (gray short-tailed opossum)
Lineage: Eukaryota; Metazoa; Chordata; Mammalia; Didelphimorphia; Didelphidae
Source: RefSeq, a predicted model, not a curated record
AAGGAUUCUAUGAACCAACAUAGAGCAAAUGAAGCAGAAAUGUGAGAAGUUCUAUCAUGACCACAAUAAUGUAAAGCAAAACACUUUUGAAAGGCUUCAAGAUCUAAGAACUUUGAUCAAUAUAGUGAAAAACCAUGACUUCAAAGGAUGAAUAGCGAAGCUUAAAUAAUGGUGUCUGACAGAGCAAUGAUGGUCCAGAGAAGCUGAAUAAGGCAUACGUUUCUGGAUAUGCCACUGUGUAUAUCAUCAACAGAAACUCUACAAUCAUAUCUGAUAUCUUCAGAAUUGAGGACAAGAGAAGAGCAGACUGCUUUUCAUGCCAGGAAUGACAGUCCUGUUAUCAGAGACCUGGUUAAACAAAUCCUGCAGACCUUAUUUCUGCCAGCAAAAAAUUCCUCUGAAUUCCCCACUACAUAAGGAAGGACAGUUCUGAUAGACUGGUCCUGAACUGGUCCUGAAAGCUGGCUUGCCAAAUUAAGUUCUUCAACAGAGUUAUCUCCCUUCUUAGAUAAGGAUGGUUCCCUUGGAAAGAGGAAUCAAGGAAAUGGGAUCAAGGAAGUUUGGAACUAACACCUCUAGGAUCCCAGCUACAGAUACUUGAGCAAGGAAGAGCAGGGGACAGAAGAGGAAGAGCAGGAAGAAGAGAAAGAGCAUACUGAUGAAGCCCUUUUACAAAUUAUACCACUGAAGAGAGUUUGCUGAGAAGGCCCUUUCUCUGUGCCAACCUCUUGGGAAACCAUCAGUCUACUAUGAAAAAAUUCUACACUCAGCACUCUUCUUGAGAAACUAAAGAGACAAAGAUGAUUCUCCUAAUGGACAAAUUCUAAGAGACAUUAUUCCAUGUGGUAGUGAGUGAAGAUAUAAAAAGGAGAAGUUAGAA